Long non-coding RNA from Mus musculus (house mouse), 1395 nucleotides. RefSeq annotates it as RIKEN cDNA 4930470P17 gene. NCBI's taxonomy places the organism in Eukaryota, Metazoa, Chordata, Mammalia, Rodentia, Muridae. The transcript is spliced from 2 exons. The record is from RefSeq and is marked validated.
GAGAGGCAGGCGGUCAGAGGCCUGUUUGGGAUACAUUCAGCUGCGGGUCAGAAGGGCACCUGGGUGAGUGGGUUCUGCGGCACGGAAUAUAUUAUUUCACUGAACGAGACGCCUGGAGGCAAGAUGCUUACGUGACCGGAAAUUCAAAGUCUAAGACUGUCCUAGGGGCUGUGUCCUUCCAGCUCCCUGCCCUGCCUUCCUCAGGAUGUAAGGUUUGUCCCUCUGCCUGCAGACUGAUGGGUCUCAGACAAGGCUGCUGCCGUCUCUGGAAUUUUCUCCCUCGGUAGCUCUAGUUGGGAAAAAUUCAUUAACUCCUCUAAAUGGACAAAAAUUACUCAAGGGGAUGAAUUCUAGUGUCCAUGUCUGUACGAGUUACUCUUCUGUCGCUGUGGUUAAAACGCCGUGACCAAAAGCAACUUAAAGAAGAAAGAGUUCAUUUCACCUUAUGGUUCCAGAGCGGUAGCACUCUUAAUGGUGAGGUGGGUGUGGUAACAGGAGCCAGAACAGGAAGCUGGCUAGUGACAUUUCCAUCCAGAAAAGCACACCGGAAGUAGAGGGAGAGAACAAGAAGUAGGGAAAAGCUCUAACCCUCUCAAAGCCUUCCCCAGUGACGUACUUCCUCCAACAAGGCUCCACCUCCUAAAGGUUCCAUAACUUCCCCCAAACAGCGCCACCCACUGGAGACUCAAAUACCUGAGACAACACUGUAUAUAGAGACAACAUUUACAUAGAACUGAAUUGUGGGCUGUGGCCCAAACCAGGCAACCAAGAAGAAAUAAUGCUGUUAGACCAAAAUUAGUUUGGACAAGGAGUAGUCGCUCCAUCUCUUCUGGUGGAGGAGACUUAGAAGAUGGAUGGAAUCUCCUUUCAUCUGUCGAUGGUCCUACAUGCCUGAGGCCAUAGCGAUGGCCCACCGCAGCGUGCUUAGCACGAGGCCGAAAAGAACGACUGGCUUGGCCACUGCUGAAGAGCAGAGAUUGAGCUACAUGAGUAGAACAGCACUUUCCCUUUGUGGUACGUCGGCUUGUCUGCAUGAACUCCCGCCAACAGCGCUCGGAAGCGGGAAUACACAGGAUUGCUGGGCCCACGCCAAAGCUUUUCUCCACUUCUUCCCUUCAGCUCCUGCAGAUGCGCCAGACCCUUGGAGACUAUGUAUCACACACAGUUUUGAAGCAAGACACAAGGAUUCUUCAUCCCUAAAUCCAGGACGUGGCAAGGAGCUCUUGGGCCUGUGGAUACUGACCAAUUCUGCAUCCAGUAGAAAAUUCAUUUCAGCACUCGAGAAACCAUAUAGAUCAUCUGUUCUUUUGAAGGUCUUUUGAGCCAAUGGUAGCAGCCUAUUGAUUUCCUGGAUAAUAAAUAAUUGAAGUAAAAUCACUGACCCAUCUGCCACUU